CCUACGGGUGGCAGCAGUGGGGAAUAUUGGACAAUGGGCGCAAGCCUGAUCCAGCAAUGCCGCGUGUGUGAAGAAGGCCUGCGGGUUGUAAAGCACUUUAAGCAGGAAAGAAGGGGCGGGAGUUAAUACCUUUCGUCAUUGACGUUACCUGCAGAAUAAGCACCGGCUAACUCCGUGCCAGCAGCCGCGGUAAUACGGAGGGUGCGAGCGUUAAUCGGAAUUACUGGGCGUAAAGCGCGCGUAGGCGGUUUGGUAAGUCUGUCGUGAAAGCCCUGGGCUUAACCUGGGAACUGCGGUGGAUACUGUCAGGCUAGAGUGUGGUAGAGGGGAGUGGAAUUUCCGGUGUAGCAGUGAAAUGCGUAGAGAUCGGAAGGAACACCAGUGGCGAAGGCGGCUCCCUGGACCAACACUGACGCUGAGGUGCGAAAGCGUGGGGAGCAAACAGGAUUAGAUACCCUAGUAGUCC
RNAcentral lists this ribosomal RNA (466 nucleotides) under uncultured bacterium. RNAcentral's name for it is "bacterial SSU rRNA". It matches the Rfam family "Bacterial small subunit ribosomal RNA", at positions 338 to 796 of the family's 1533-position model. The record is from RNAcentral.